Molecule: long non-coding RNA, 365 nt
Organism: Oncorhynchus tshawytscha (Chinook salmon)
Lineage: Eukaryota; Metazoa; Chordata; Actinopteri; Salmoniformes; Salmonidae
Source: Ensembl
GGAGGGGUAAGGGAGAAGGGAGGAGUUAGGGAGUAGGGAGAGGUUAGGGAGUAGGGAGGGGUUAGGGUGUAGGGAGAGGUUAGGGAGUAGGGAGGGGGUAGGGAGUAGGGAGGGGUUAGGGAGUAGGGAGAGGGUAGGGAGUAGGAAGGGGUUAGCGAGUAGGGAGAGGUUAGGAAGUAGGGAGGGGUUAGGGAGUAGGAAGGGGUAAGGGAGUAGGGAGAGGUUAGGGAGUAGGGAGGGGUUAGGGAGUAGGGAGGAGUUAGGGAGGGGUUAGGGAGUAGGGAGUGGUUAGGGAGUAGGGAGGGGUUAGGGAGUAGGGAGGAGUUAGGGAAUAGGAAGGGGUUAGGGAUUACGGAGAGGUUAGG